UAAGAGGUCCAGCCUGCCCGGUGACAUAGUUUAACGGCCGCGGUACUCUGACCGUGCGAAGGUAGCAUAAUCACUUGUUCUUUAAAUGGGGACUAGUAUCAACGGCAUCACGAGGGCUUCACUGUCUCCUUUUUCCAAUCAGUGAAACUGAUCUCCCCGUGAAGAAGCGGGAAUCACACUAUAAGACGAGAAGACCCCAUGGAGCUUUAAACCCAAUAACAUCCCUAACCUUCUUUCCCACUAAAGUUUUUCAGCUCUGUCUAUUGGUUUUAGGUUGGGGCGACCGCGGAGUAAAACACAACCUCCACAACGCAUGGAACUAACACCACAUCCGAGAGCCACCUCUCAAAGAAUCAACAAAUUGACGUAAAUGAUCCAAUUAUUUUGAUCAAUGAACCAAGUUACCCUGGGGAUAACAGCGCAAUCCAUUUCAAGAGCUCCUAUCGACAAGUGGGUUUACGACCUCGAUGUUGGAUCAGGGUAUCCCAGUGGUGCAGCCGCUACUAACGGUUUGUUUGUUCAACAAUUAAA
Molecule: ribosomal RNA, 531 nt
Filed under: Minervarya kalinga
Lineage: Eukaryota; Metazoa; Chordata; Amphibia; Anura; Dicroglossidae
Description: partial large subunit ribosomal RNA
Rfam family: Bacterial large subunit ribosomal RNA
Source: RNAcentral